This 254-nucleotide ribosomal RNA is filed under the name uncultured bacterium. RNAcentral's name for it is "partial 16S ribosomal RNA". It matches the Rfam family "Bacterial small subunit ribosomal RNA", at positions 524 to 776 of the family's 1533-position model. The record is from RNAcentral.
UACGUAGGGUGCAAGCGUUGUCCGGAAUUAUUGGGCGUAAAGAGUUCGUAGGUGGUUGUCGGCGUUGUUCGUGAAAACUCACAGCUCAACUGUGGGCGUGCGGGCGAUACGGGCAGACUGGAGUACUGCAGGGGAGACUGGAAUUCCUGGUGUAGCGGUGGAAUGCGCAGAUAUCAGGAGGAACACCGGUGGCGAAGGCGGGUCUCUGGGCAGUAACUGACGCUGAGGAGCGAAAGCGUGGGGGAGCGAACAGG